UACGGUGGGAGCUAGCGUUGUUCGGAAUUACUGGGCGUAAAGCGCACGUAGGCGGCUUUGUAAGUUAGAGGUGAAAGCCCGGGGCUCAACCCCGGAAUUGCCUUUAAGACUGCAUCGCUUGAAUCCAGGAGAGGUGAGUGGAAUUCCGAGUGUAGAGGUGAAAUUCGUAGAUAUUCGGAAGAACACCAGUGGCGAAGGCGGCUCACUGGACUGGUAUUGACGCUGAGGUGCGAAAGCGUGGGGAGCAAACAGG
This 253-nucleotide ribosomal RNA is filed under the name uncultured bacterium. RNAcentral describes it as "partial 16S ribosomal RNA". It matches the Rfam family "Bacterial small subunit ribosomal RNA", at positions 524 to 776 of the family's 1533-position model. The record is from RNAcentral.